This 253-nucleotide ribosomal RNA is filed under the name uncultured bacterium. Its description in RNAcentral is "partial 16S ribosomal RNA". It matches the Rfam family "Bacterial small subunit ribosomal RNA", at positions 524 to 776 of the family's 1533-position model. The record is from RNAcentral.
UACGUAGGGGGCAAGCGUUGUCCGGAAUCAUUGGGCGUAAAGCGCGCGUAGGCGGCCCUGUAAGUCCGCUGUAAAAGUCAAAGGCUCAACCUUUGAAAGCCGGUGGAUACUGCAGGGCUAGAGUCCGGAAGAGGCGAGUGGAAUUCCUGGUGUAGCGGUGGAAUGCGCAGAUAUCAGGAGGAACACCAAUAGCGAAGGCAGCUCGCUGGGACGGUACUGACGCUGAGACGCGAAAGCGUGGGGAGCGAACAGG